GUUGUUAAGUCCCCUGUUGUCGUCAUUGGCUAAGGCGUGCCUAGAAGCCCCUUCCCCGCACAGGGCUCCGCGAUUUCUCCCCAGUCUCGAGCUCUCCUGCCCUGGCCGCUUCAGGCGAGGCUACAGCAUCCCAGCCCUUGAGUGCGCGGUGGCCCCUCCGCAUCCCAGCUCCAGGGCUCUCAGAAUUGGGGAAACCCCAGGCCCCGUGCGGAGCUUCGAAAACCGACGGCGCCAAGCGGCACCUGCCGGGGGUCCUGACCUAGACGAACAAGAGUUCCAACCGUGCUCUAACAAGGACCUACAAGUGGCGGCAGGUGUGAGGGGCAGAGAGCAUUGAGCAGUUGAAGGUUUAACCCGGGGCUCAGCCACCCACUUUGCUGGGUUUCUGGCCAGAGUCCCUGGAGUUCUCCCGGAUAUGUCUCUGCGCACCCCACGCUCUUUCUGGUUCUCUCGAGCUAGGUGAUGGACCCACACCUGUUUGUGCCUCUGUCGGGAGGGGUUGGAGGACCCCCCCCCCCCGUGCAGGCUUGCGAAGGGAGGUGUUUCUUGGGGGAAGGUUGGU
Canis lupus familiaris (dog) is the source of this 562-nucleotide long non-coding RNA. RefSeq lists it as uncharacterized. The transcript is spliced from 3 exons. The record is from RefSeq and is a predicted model, not a curated record. Lineage: Eukaryota; Metazoa; Chordata; Mammalia; Carnivora; Canidae.